GCAAAAUCAGCCUCUUCCAU
RNAcentral lists this small RNA (20 nucleotides) under Arabidopsis thaliana (thale cress). Its description in RNAcentral is "ATSL286940". Lineage: Eukaryota; Viridiplantae; Streptophyta; Magnoliopsida; Brassicales; Brassicaceae. The record is from RNAcentral.